GGGUUGUGAGGUUAAGCGACUAAGCGUACACGGUGGAUGCCCUGGCAGUCAGAGGCGAUGAAGGGCGUGCUAAUCUGCGAUAAGCGCCGGUAAGGUGAUAUGAACCGUUAUAACCGGCGAUACCCGAAUGGGGAAACCCAGUGUGAUUCGUCACACUAUCAUUAACUGAAUCCAUAGGUUAAUGAGGCGAACCGGGGGAACUGAAACAUCUAAGUACCCCGAGGAAAAGAAAUCAACCGAGAUUCCCCCAGUAGCGGCGAGCGAACGGGGAGGAGCCCAGAGCCUGAAUCAGCAUAUGUGUUAGUGGAAGCGUCUGGAAAGGCGCGCGAUACAGGGUGACAGCCCCGUACACAAAAGCGCAUGUGCUGUGAGCUCGAUGAGUAGGGCGGGACACGUGGUAUCCUGUCUGAAUAUGGGGGGACCAUCCUCCAAGGCUAAAUACUCCUGACUGACCGAUAGUGAACCAGUACCGUGAGGGAAAGGCGAAAAGAACCCCGGCGAGGGGAGUGAAAAAGAACCUGAAACCGUGUACGUACAAGCAGUGGGAGCCCCACCACUAAGCCAGUGGUGAACUCCACAUACGCAUCCUUUGCUGAGGAUACGGUUAACGGAGCGCAAGCGACGUUCAACCUCAAAAGAAGCAGAGGGGGCUUAGUGGUGGGGUGACUGCGUACCUUUUGUAUAAUGGGUCAGCGACUUAUAUUCUGUAGCAAGGUUAACCGUAUAGGGGAGCCGGAGGGAAACCGAGUCUUAAUUGGGCGUUAAGUUGCAGGGUAUAGACCCGAAACCCGGUGAUCUAGCCAUGGGCAGGUUGAAGGUUGGGUAACACUAACUGGAGGACCGAACCGACUAAUGUUGAAAAAUUAGCGGAUGACCUGUGGCUGGGGGUGAAAGGCCAAUCAAACCGGGAGAUAGCUGGUUCUCCCCGAAAGCUAUUUAGGUAGCGCCUCGUGAAUUCAUCUCCGGGGGUAGAGCACUGUUUCGGCUAGGGGGCCAUCCCGGCUUACCAACCCGAUGCAAACUGCGAAUACCGGAGAAUGUUAUCACGGGAGACACACGGCGGGUGCUAACGUCCGUCGUGAAGAGGGAAACAACCCAGACCGCCAGCUAAGGUCCCAAAGUCAUGGUUAAGUGGGAAACGAUGUGGGAAGGCCCAGACAGCCAGGAUGUUGGCUUAGAAGCAGCCAUCAUUUAAAGAAAGCGUAAUAGCUCACUGGUCGAGUCGGCCUGCGCGGAAGAUGUAACGGGGCUAAACCAUGCACCGAAGCUGCGGCAGCGACGCUGAUGCGUUGUUGGGUAGGGGAGCGUUCUGUAAGCCUGCGAAGGUGGCCUGUGAGGGUUGCUGGAGGUAUCAGAAGUGCGAAUGCUGACAUAAGUAACGAUAAAGCGGGUGAAAAGCCCGCUCGCCGGAAGACCAAGGGUUCCUGUCCAACGUUAAUCGGGGCAGGGUGAGUCGACCCCUAAGGCGAGGCCGAAAGGCGUAGUCGAUGGGAAACGGGUUAAUAUUCCCGUACUUGGUGUUACUGCGAAGGGGGGACGGAGAAGGCUAUGUUGGCCGGGCGACGGUUGUCCCGGUUUAAGCGUGUAGGUGUGUGUUCCAGGUAAAUCCGGUUCACUUUAACACUGAGGCGUGAUGACGAGGCACUACGGUGCUGAAGCAACAAAUGCCCUGCUUCCAGGAAAAGCCUCUAAGCAUCAGGUAACAUCAAAUCGUACCCCAAACCGACACAGGUGGUCAGGUAGAGAAUACCAAGGCGCUUGAGAGAACUCGGGUGAAGGAACUAGGCAAAAUGGUGCCGUAACUUCGGGAGAAGGCACGCUGACACGUAGGUGAAGUGAUUUACUCAUGGAGCUGAAGUCAGUCGAAGAUACCAGCUGGCUGCAACUGUUUAUUAAAAACACAGCACUGUGCAAACACGAAAGUGGACGUAUACGGUGUGACGCCUGCCCGGUGCCGGAAGGUUAAUUGAUGGGGUCAGCGCAAGCGAAGCUCCUGAUCGAAGCCCCGGUAAACGGCGGCCGUAACUAUAACGGUCCUAAGGUAGCGAAAUUCCUUGUCGGGUAAGUUCCGACCUGCACGAAUGGCGUAAUGAUGGCCAGGCUGUCUCCACCCGAGACUCAGUGAAAUUGAACUCGCUGUGAAGAUGCAGUGUACCCGCGGCAAGACGGAAAGACCCCGUGAACCUUUACUAUAGCUUGACACUGAACAUUGAGCCUUGAUGUGUAGGAUAGGUGGGAGGCUUUGAAGUGUGGACGCCAGUCUGCAUGGAGCCGGCCUUGAAAUACCACCCUUUAAUGUUUGAUGUUCUAACGUGGACCCGUGAUCCGGGUUGCGGACAGUGUCUGGUGGGUAGUUUGACUGGGGCGGUCUCCUCCUAAAGAGUAACGGAGGAGCACGAAGGUUGGCUAAUCCUGGUCGGACAUCAGGAGGUUAGUGCAAUGGCAUAAGCCAGCUUGACUGCGAGCGUGACGGCGCGAGCAGGUGCGAAAGCAGGUCAUAGUGAUCCGGUGGUUCUGAAUGGAAGGGCCAUCGCUCAACGGAUAAAAGGUACUCCGGGGAUAACAGGCUGAUACCGCCCAAGAGUUCAUAUCGACGGCGGUGUUUGGCACCUCGAUGUCGGCUCAUCACAUCCUGGGGCUGAAGUAGGUCCCAAGGGUAUGGCUGUUCGCCAUUUAAAGUGGUACGCGAGCUGGGUUUAGAACGUCGUGAGACAGUUCGGUCCCUAUCUGCCGUGGGCGCUGGAGAACUGAGGGGGGCUGCUCCUAGUACGAGAGGACCGGAGUGGACGCAUCACUGGUGUUCGGGUUGUCAUGCCAAUGGCACUGCCCGGUAGCUAAAUGCGGAAGAGAUAAGUGCUGAAAGCAUCUAAGCACGAAACUUGCCCCGAGAUGAGUUCUCCCUGAGACUUUAGGUCUCCUGAAGGAACGUUGAAGACGACGACGUUGAUAGGCCGGGUGUGUAAGCGCAGCGAUGCGUUGAGCUAACCGGUACUAAUGAACCGUGAGGCUUAACCUUACAACGCCGAAG
Molecule: ribosomal RNA, 3028 nt
Filed under: Salmonella enterica subsp. enterica serovar Panama str. ATCC 7378
Lineage: Bacteria; Pseudomonadati; Pseudomonadota; Gammaproteobacteria; Enterobacterales; Enterobacteriaceae
Description: bacterial LSU rRNA
Rfam family: Bacterial large subunit ribosomal RNA
Source: RNAcentral